UAUUAGGUUGGUGCAAAAGUAAUUGCAGUUUUGCCAUUACUUUUAAUGGUGAAAACUGCAAUUAUUUUUUCAUCAACCUAAUA
This is a microRNA precursor of Pan paniscus (pygmy chimpanzee), 83 nucleotides long. The record is from Ensembl. NCBI's taxonomy places the organism in Eukaryota, Metazoa, Chordata, Mammalia, Primates, Hominidae.